Molecule: ribosomal RNA, 167 nt
Filed under: Cypripedium x ventricosum
Lineage: Eukaryota; Viridiplantae; Streptophyta; Magnoliopsida; Asparagales; Orchidaceae
Description: 5.8S ribosomal RNA
Rfam family: 5.8S ribosomal RNA (bases 1-110)
About the family: 5.8S ribosomal RNA (5.8S rRNA) is a component of the large subunit of the eukaryotic ribosome. It is transcribed by RNA polymerase I as part of the 45S precursor that also contains 18S and 28S rRNA.
Source: RNAcentral
AGCAAAAUGCGAUAAGUGGUGUGAAUUGCAGAAUCCCGUGAACCAUCGAGUCUUUGAACGCAAGUUGCGCCCGAUGCCAUCAGGCUAAGGGCACGCCUGCCUGGGCGUCGUGUGCUGCGUCUCUCCUGUCAAUGCUUUCAUGUCAUAUAGAUAGGUUUGCAUUGCGU